AACGCGAAGAACCUUACCCAGGCUCGAAAUGUAAUGGACGAUAUCAGAGAUGAUAUUUUCCGCAAGGACCGUUAUAUAGGUGCUGCAUGGCUGUCGUCAGCUCGUGCCGUGAGGUGUUUGGUUAAGUCCAGCAACGAGCGCAACCCUUAUCAUUAGUUGCCAGCAUUUAAGGUGGGGACUCUAAUGAGACUGCCCAGGUUAACUGGGAGGAAGGUGAGGAUGACGUCAAGUCCGCAUGGCCUUUAUGUCUGGGGCUACACACGUGCUACAAUGGUCGGUACAGAAGGCAGCAAGACCGCAAGGUGGAGCAAAUCCGAAAAGCCGAUCCCAGUUCAGAUUGUAGUCUGCAACUCGACUACAUGAAGUUGGAAUUGCUAGUAAUGACGUGUCAGCAACAACGUCGUGAAUACGUUCCCGGGCCUUGUACACAUCGCUCGUC
RNAcentral lists this ribosomal RNA (439 nucleotides) under uncultured bacterium. RNAcentral describes it as "bacterial SSU rRNA". It matches the Rfam family "Bacterial small subunit ribosomal RNA", at positions 958 to 1398 of the family's 1533-position model. The record is from RNAcentral.